GAUGAACGCUGGCGGCGUGCCUAAUACAUGCAAGUCGAGCGAACGGACGAGAAGCUUGCUUCUCUGAUGUUAGCGGCGGACGGGUGAGUAACACGUGGAUAACCUACCUAUACGACUGGGAUAACUUCGGGAAACCGGAGCUAAUACCGGAUAAUAUUUUGAACCGCAUGGUUCAAAAGUGAAAGACGGUCUUGCUGUCACUUAUAGAUGGAUCCGCGCUGCAUUAGCUAGUUGGUAAGGUAACGGCUUACCAAGGCAACGAUGCAUGGCCGACCUGAGAGGGUGAUCGGCCACACUGGAACUGAGACACGGUCCAGACUCCUACGGGAGGCAGCAGUAGGGAAUCUUCCGCAAUGGGCGAAAGCCUGACGGAGCAACGCCGCGUGAGUGAUGAAGGUCUUCGGAUCGUAAAACUCUGUUAUUAGGGAAGAACAUAUGUGUAAGUAACUGUGCACAUCUUGACGGUACCUAAUCAGAAAGCCACGGCUAACUACGUGCCAGCAGCCGCGGUAAUACGUAGGUGGCAAGCGUUAUCCGGAAUUAUUGGGCGUAAAGCGCGCGUAGGCGGUUUUUUAAGUCUGAUGUGAAAGCCCACGGCUCAACCGUGGAGGGUCAUUGGAAACUGGAAAACUUGAGUGCAGAAGAGGAAAGUGGAAUUCCAUGUGUAGCGGUGAAAUGCGCAGAGAUAUGGAGGAACACCAGUGGCGAAGGCGACUUUCUGGUCUGUAACUGACGCUGAUGUGCGAAAGCGUGGGGAUCAAACAGGAUUAGAUACCCUGGUAGUCCACGCCGUAAACGAUGAGUGCUAAGUGUUAGGGGGUUUCCGCCCCUUAGUGCUGCAGCUAACGCAUUAAGCACUCCGCCUGGGGAGUACGACCGCAAGGUUGAAACUCAAAGGAAUUGACGGGGACCCGCACAAGCGGUGGAGCAUGUGGUUUAAUUCGAAGCAACGCGAAGAACCUUACCAAAUCUUGACAUCCUUUGACAACUCUAGAGAUAGAGCCUUCCCCUUCGGGGGACAAAGUGACAGGUGGUGCAUGGUUGUCGUCAGCUCGUGUCGUGAGAUGUUGGGUUAAGUCCCGCAACGAGCGCAACCCUUAAGCUUAGUUGCCAUCAUUAAGUUGGGCACUCUAAGUUGACUGCCGGUGACAAACCGGAGGAAGGUGGGGAUGACGUCAAAUCAUCAUGCCCCUUAUGAUUUGGGCUACACACGUGCUACAAUGGACAAUACAAAGGGCAGCGAAACCGCGAGGUCAAGCAAAUCCCAUAAAGUUGUUCUCAGUUCGGAUUGUAGUCUGCAACUCGACUACAUGAAGCUGGAAUCGCUAGUAAUCGUAGAUCAGCAUGCUACGGUGAAUACGUUCCCGGGUCU
RNAcentral lists this ribosomal RNA (1372 nucleotides) under uncultured bacterium. Its description in RNAcentral is "bacterial SSU rRNA". It matches the Rfam family "Bacterial small subunit ribosomal RNA", at positions 28 to 1381 of the family's 1533-position model. The record is from RNAcentral.